GGCUGGGGCCUAUGCAACGUCUGACUAGCUAACCCCGUCAGGCCCGGAAGGGAGCAGCGGUCGUUGGUUGAACGUGUGCUGUAGGUUACCUGGCCACU
RNAcentral lists this signal recognition particle RNA (98 nucleotides) under Puniceicoccaceae bacterium. Its description in RNAcentral is "signal recognition particle sRNA small type". It matches the Rfam family "Bacterial small signal recognition particle RNA". From Rfam's summary of the family: The signal recognition particle (SRP) is a universally conserved ribonucleoprotein involved in the co-translational targeting of proteins to membranes. Lineage: Bacteria; Pseudomonadati; Verrucomicrobiota; Opitutia; Puniceicoccales; Puniceicoccaceae. The record is from RNAcentral.